GUUCCAAAAUCAGAUCUGAAAAGAGUCAAAAACACAGAAAAAACAGGAAGUGACACUUGGCACUGGAUUAAUAAGUUAGUCCCAAAAAAGAUAUAAAAGGUAAACAAAACAUCCAAAGUUGACAAGAUAACAGCGUGAAACCAUCAAAAAUUAUAGAUACGUUUGAGACGUAUCAUAACCCGCCGCAGAACCCAACGGUUUCCUCCAUCAACCACGAAAGCCUCCAUGGUCAUUUUUUUCCAUUCAUCGCUGAACCAAACACCGCUCGGAUGCACCUUCUAACUGCAGCAUACUCUACAUUAAUCAUGUCUUUCACUACAACCGUAGUCAUCCCGCAC
This 338-nucleotide long non-coding RNA is filed under the name Hordeum vulgare. RNAcentral's name for it is "long non-coding RNA (HVUL_LNC013386)". The record is from RNAcentral. Lineage: Eukaryota; Viridiplantae; Streptophyta; Magnoliopsida; Poales; Poaceae.